Long non-coding RNA from Vidua chalybeata, 433 nucleotides. RefSeq lists it as uncharacterized. The transcript is spliced from 4 exons. The record is from RefSeq and is a predicted model, not a curated record. Lineage: Eukaryota; Metazoa; Chordata; Aves; Passeriformes; Viduidae.
ACAGGCUGAGAGAGGCUUGGACUGCACUAAUGAAAAUCUUUUUUAGCAUUUGUUAACUGAAGCAUAGAGAUACUAAAGAAUGCACCUGGGUCAAGGGAAAGAGUUUCCUCAGAGAACAGCAAGGUACAUAGGAGCUUUGGAUGGUUCCCAGGUGCUAAAAUAAAGUGUGCAAGCCAGCCACUUGUACCUCAAAAGGGACCUGUGUGCUCAGAUCUGUCCAAACAAUUAGCCCAGCUUGGCCCACCUGUAGUCUUUACCUUUCUGGAAGGCCUUUGGAAAGAACUUUAUUUUCCUGUGGUCCCAUCCACAUCCACAUAGCUCUGGACUUCAAUGACUUUUAGCCUGUCUUCUGCACCAGAACCUCUUCCUUUAAUGGCAAGAUGUGAUUUGGAUCUUGUAGUAUUGACCUCCCCAUCACUAGCCUCUGCAAUCA